GAUGAACGCUGGCGGCGUGCCUAAUACAUGCAAGUCGAGCGAACAGACGAGAAGCUUGCUCCUCUGAGGUUAGCGGCGGACGGGUGAGUAACACGUGGAUAACCUACCUAUAAGACUGGGAUAACUUCGGGAAACCGGAGCUACUACCGGAUAAUAUAUUGAACCGCAUGGUUCAAGAGUGAAAGACGGUUUUCCUGUCACUUAUAGAUGGAUCCGCGCUGCAUUAGCUAGUUGGUAAGGUAACGGCUUACCUAGGCAACGAUGCGUAGCCGACCUGAGAGGGUGAUCGGCCACACUGGAACUGAGACACGGUCCAGACUCCUACGGGAGGCAGCAGUAGGGAAUCUUCCGCAAUGGGCGAAAGCCUGACGGAGCAACGCCGCGUGAGUGAUGAAGGUCUUCGGAUCGUAAAACUCUGUUAUUAGGGAAGAACAAAUGUGUAAGUAACUAUGCACGUCUUGACGGUACCUAAUCAGAAAGCCACGGCUAACUACGUG
RNAcentral lists this ribosomal RNA (497 nucleotides) under uncultured bacterium. RNAcentral's name for it is "partial 16S ribosomal RNA". It matches the Rfam family "Bacterial small subunit ribosomal RNA", at positions 28 to 507 of the family's 1533-position model. The record is from RNAcentral.